Molecule: non-coding RNA, 69 nt
Organism: Rattus norvegicus (Norway rat)
Lineage: Eukaryota; Metazoa; Chordata; Mammalia; Rodentia; Muridae
Source: Rfam
GGGGAUUUAGCUCAGUGGUAGAGUGCUUGCCUAGCAAGCACAAAGCCCUGGGUUCAGUCCCCAGCUCCG